Molecule: ribosomal RNA, 457 nt
Filed under: uncultured bacterium
Lineage: Bacteria
Description: partial 16S ribosomal RNA
Rfam family: Bacterial small subunit ribosomal RNA
Source: RNAcentral
GUGGGGAAUAUUGCACAAUGGGCGAAAGCCUGAUGCAGCAACGCCGCGUGAGUGAUGAAGGUCUUCGGAUUGUAAAGCUCUGUCUUUUGGGACGAUAAUGACGGUACCGAAGGAGGAAGCCACGGCUAACUACGUGCCAGCAGCCGCGGUAAUACGUAGGUGGCGAGCGUUGUCCGGAUUUACUGGGCGUAAAGGGUGCGUAGGCGGAUGUUUAAGUGAGAUGUGAAAUACCCGGGCUUAACUUGGGUGCUGCAUUUCAAACUGGAUAUCUAGAGUGCAGGAGAGGAGAAUGGAAUUCCUAGUGUAGCGGUGAAAUGCGUAGAGAUUAGGAAGAACACCAGUGGCGAAGGCGAUUCUCUGGACUGUAACUGACGCUGAGGCACGAAAGGCGUGGGUAGCAAACAGGAUUAGAUACCCUGGUAGUCCACGCCGUAAACGAUGAGUACUAGGUGUAGGA